Molecule: ribosomal RNA, 440 nt
Filed under: uncultured bacterium
Lineage: Bacteria
Description: bacterial SSU rRNA
Rfam family: Bacterial small subunit ribosomal RNA
Source: RNAcentral
CCUACGGGUGGCUGCAGUGGGGAAUAUUGCACAAUGGGGGAAACCCUGAUGCAGCGACGCCGCGUGAAGGAAGAAGGUCUUCGGAUCGUAAACUUCUAUCAGCAGGGAAGAAUACUGACGGUACCUUAGGAGGAAGCCCCGGCUAACUACGUGCCAGCAGCCGCGGUAAUACGUAGGGGGCGAGCGUUAUCCGGAAUCACUGGGCGUAAAGGGUGCGUAGGCGGCCAAUUAAGCCAGAGGUGAAAGGCUACGGCUCAACCGUAGUAAGCCUUUGGAACUGAAUGGCUUGAGUGCAGGAGAGGAGAGUGGAAUUCCUAGUGUAGCGGUGAAAUGCGUAGAUAUUAGGAGGAACACCAGUGGCGAAGGCGACUCUCUGGACUGUAACUGACGCUGAGGCACGAAAGCGUGGGGAGCAAACAGGAUUAGAUACCCUAGUAGUC